AUAAAAUAUGGUCUUAACAACAAAAUCCUUAUCCAAGAUAUAUUUGUGACCUAUGCAUAUACUAGCUAGUACUAUAUCUCAUACAAUUUGUGUGUGUAUGUCAAACUAUCAAUUACUAGUAAUAUAACAAAACCAAAUAAACAAAUAUAUAUAACAAAAUUAUAAUGUAUCCUAUAAUACUUUUUACAAUCAAUGCAUACACAUUAUGUAUAGGUAAAGGAAAAAAAAAAAAAAAAACAAUUUUGGUAGAGGUAUCUUUUACUUUUGUUGUGAGUUGUGAGUUGUGACUCCUUUUUUAAUUUAAUUUUCUCAAAAAAUUUUUUUUAUGUGGCAGCAGAGCCAAUUUUUUGGAUGCGUAUUGGUGUGAAUGUAGACACGUGGUGAAACGAGAUUGGAAGAUGACAGCUUUGACGGCAUGACGCCAGAGUGGACGACGCGCCG
This 441-nucleotide long non-coding RNA is filed under the name Capsella rubella. RNAcentral describes it as "long non-coding RNA (CRUB_LNC001043)". Lineage: Eukaryota; Viridiplantae; Streptophyta; Magnoliopsida; Brassicales; Brassicaceae. The record is from RNAcentral.